CCUACGGGAGGCAGCAGUGGGGAAUAUUGGACAAUGGGGGGAACCCUGAUCCAGCGACGCCGCGUGAGUGAAGAAGUAUUUCGGUAUGUAAAGCCCUAUUAGCAGGGAAGAAAGAAAUGACGGUUCCUGACUAAGAACCCGCGGCUAACUACCGGCCAGCAGCCGUGGUAAUACGUAGGGGGCAAGCGUUAUCCGGAUUUACUGGGGGUAAAGGGGGCGUAGGCGGGUAAGGAAGGCUGUAGUGAAAGGCGGGGGCCCAACCAUCGGACUGCAUUGGAAACUGUAAAACUUGAGUGCAGGAGAGGUAAGUGGAAUUCGUAGUGUAGCGGUGAAAUGCGUAGAGAUUAGGAGGAACACUAAUUGCGAAGGCGGCCUGCUAGAAUAUAACUGACGUUGAGGCGCGAAAGCGUGGGGAGCAAACAGGAUUAGAUACCCGAGUAGUC
This 443-nucleotide ribosomal RNA is filed under the name uncultured bacterium. RNAcentral's name for it is "partial 16S ribosomal RNA". It matches the Rfam family "Bacterial small subunit ribosomal RNA", at positions 338 to 795 of the family's 1533-position model. The record is from RNAcentral.